Molecule: ribosomal RNA, 253 nt
Filed under: uncultured bacterium
Lineage: Bacteria
Description: partial 16S ribosomal RNA
Rfam family: Bacterial small subunit ribosomal RNA
Source: RNAcentral
UACGAAGGGGGCUAGCGUUGCUCGGAAUCACUGGGCGUAAAGCGCACGUAGGCGGAUUUCUAAGUCAGGGGUGAAAUCCUGGAGCUCAACUCCAGAACUGCCUUUGAUACUGGGAGUCUCGAGUCCGGGAGAGGUGAGUGGAACUGCGAGUGUAGAGGUGAAAUUCGUAGAUAUUCGCAAGAACACCAGUGGCGAAGGCGGCUCACUGGCCCGGUACUGACGCUGAGGAGCGAAAGCGUGGGGAGCGAACAGG